Molecule: transfer RNA, 67 nt
Filed under: Inocellia elegans
Lineage: Eukaryota; Metazoa; Arthropoda; Insecta; Raphidioptera; Inocelliidae
Description: tRNA-Asp
Source: RNAcentral
AAAGAAUUAGUUAAAUUAUAUAACAUUAAUAUGUCAUAUUAAAAUUAUUUAUUAUAAAUAUUCUUUU